UACAGAGGGUGCGAGCGUUAAUCGGAAUUACUGGGCGUAAAGCACACGUAGUCGGCUUUGCAAGUCGGUUGUGAAAUCCCCGGGCUCAACCUGGGAACUGCAUCCGAGACUGCAUUGCUAGAGUAUGGGAGAGGGAAGCGGAAUUUCUGGUGUAGCAGUGAAAUGCGUAGAUAUCAGAAGGAACAUCAGUGGCGAAGGCGGCUUCCUGGACCAAUACUGACGAUCAGGUGCGAAAGCGUGGGGAGCAAACAGG
Molecule: ribosomal RNA, 253 nt
Filed under: uncultured bacterium
Lineage: Bacteria
Description: partial 16S ribosomal RNA
Rfam family: Bacterial small subunit ribosomal RNA
Source: RNAcentral